Musca domestica (house fly) is the source of this 7448-nucleotide long non-coding RNA. RefSeq lists it as uncharacterized. The transcript has 3 exons. NCBI's taxonomy places the organism in Eukaryota, Metazoa, Arthropoda, Insecta, Diptera, Muscidae. The record is from RefSeq and is a predicted model, not a curated record.
AUAUUGGAAUUAAAGCAGUUGUAAAUUAAAAUCAAAGACCUAAAAUAGUAAAGACUAGACAAAAUGCAUUUUGAGCAAAUGGUUUGUGUCUACAAUACAUAGAGUAACAGCUCAUGGCAAAGACAUGUUAAUAUUUGAAAAAUCCAAAUUUUUGGAUUCAAAAUUCUAUUCCAUGGGUCUUUUCGCAAAUUUGCUUAUUGCCUUAGCGGUGUAAAUCAGUUAACAUUGGUAACUAUGUAGUUAUGAUAUCGUAACAACAGAGGUAUUUUCUCAGGGUUACCAUAUUUUAACUCUUGUCCUAUCUUUACACUUCUAUGUCUUUGUUAAAAUUCUUUGUAGGUCUGUCUAAAUCGGAAAAUAUUUUGCCGUUCAGUAGAAAGUUUAUUCCAAGCAUUGUUCGCACUUUUCAAUGAAGGAAGUUUAAAGGUAUAAAGUUCGGUUUCAUAAGAGGGUAAUGUUUCAUAAUGAUGAUUCCAUAAAUGACUACACAAAAGGAACAAUAGAAAUUGUUUUUGAUUCAAUCAGACUAGAGUGUAUUACAUAACAUAAUAUUCAAGUAAAUUUCGAACAAUGGAAAAAUAUAGUUGUUUUGUAACUAGUGGGUCAGAAAACUCCAUGCUCCAUUUUUUCAGUACUGAUAUUUGUUGACGAAAACUUAGUCGUUGAUGAAGUAAUAUACCAAGAUCGUGGACAUAUUCAACAGAUUCUAGCUCAUUGUUUUCAAAGUGAUAUUUUGCGUUAAAAGAUUUACAUUGCAACUUUAGUUCAAUCGGAUCAUUGUAGGAUUGCAAAAUUUUUACUUCGCCUGGGUACAUUAAUAUAUUUUAGUACGUUAAACCUGUUGGUGCGUACAUUACAUUAUAUUUGGGUACUUUAUAGUUGUUGAUAGACAUUAAUAAAAAAGUUAAAAAGAAUAGGUCCAAUUUGACUGCCCUGACGAUCUCCAGAAGAAAUAAGGAUAGUUAUAGAAUUAUAUUUUGCGUUCUUCAUGAUAAAUAAGACUUUAUCCAUUCUAACAGAUCUUAUCAAGAUUCAGACACUUAUCUUUAUCAAAUGCUUUAUUGAAAUCCGUGUAGAUAGUGUCUGUUCGCAUUAUACUUUUAAAACCAUCGUUUACAAUUGUUGUCAGUUUUAAAAUAUUUGUAAUAGUUGAGCAUUUUUUUUAAAUCCGUGCUGAAAAUUGGAUAGUAUAGAGGAGACUUGGAAGGAACCCGUAUCACUAAGAAUUUUCGCAAUGAGUUUUGGUAUACCACUUAGCCUUGCUAUACCCCUGUAGGGUAUAAUAAAUGAAUUUUUCCAUAAAUGUCGACAGCUAAAACGACAGCUUAAGUCCUUGGAGGAUAUCUAUAUACAUAGUGGUGAAUAAGUGUCUUAGAGGGCCAAAGUUCCUUAUGUAUUAAUGUAUAAUUUGAAUAUGUUGUUUCUGAUGAUGUAAAUGAUCGAUUUGACCCAGUGGGUGUUGUAGAUCGAUAUGGACGGGCAGUUUAUUUAUGAGGGCUUUGUUGUUGUUGCCCUCGAUGGGGUUGUUGAAAAGGUUUGAGUCAAUUGCAGGCCCAAUUGCGACAUUGACUCUUUUCUGGAAUCAGUCAUAUUGGGUAAAAUUAUUAGAGGAAGUUCGAUAGAAAUUUGUGGUAUUGCAAUAGCGUUAACCGAAGCUACAUUUCGUGAGGCAAAAGUCAUGAUGUUAGACGUUUUUUUCUUUUUAUGACAAAGUCCAAUGGAGAUUUAAGGAAAUGAUCUAAACUCGAUUGUUUGUCAAAAAAUUCCUUCUAUUAAGCAAACUUAUCUAAUGUUUAGUUAGCUUCUAAAUCAAUUUGAUUAUAUUCAGGAUCAUAAACACAGAAUUUAUCACGACACUAUCGCAAACCUUUAUCUUCUUUGAGGUUAUCGGCAGUUCGUGCAGCUAAAUUUAGACACUUAUGCUAGGAACACAAUUGGAGCGAACGACGAAUUUCGCCCUACGCGGCGACAAAAUGAGCCGCAUAAAUUCGUCGCAUGGAAAACAAUACCGACGAAAUUAUAAAACAGCUGAUGAAGUUGUUUACUUUUUGCUCAUUUGUUGACUACAAUGAAUCAGAGAAUUGUAUAUUAUAGUAAAAGCUUAUCUGCUUGUGCGAAAACGUUUACGGAGAAGAUGGUGGGUACGGCCAGUGAACAUUAAAAGAAACACCGAAUGAUUCCAGAGAAUGGCUUUUACGGAGCUAAAAUUAUGAGAUGAAGAGCACUUCUUUCUUCUGAAGAGCACUUCUUCUCUUCUAGAUUUGCUUAAACCACGAUUUCAAAGAUUUUCAAAAAGAAAACCAAUUGAUGAGGAAACACGUUUGGGCUUAACUCUAAUAUACCUAGCUCAUGGUUGCAGUGCACAGUUUUUGGCAAAGAUAUACAAAAUGGGUGUUUCGACUGUGAGAAAGAUAAUUUAUGAAACUUGCGAUGCGUUAUGGAGCGAGCUUCAAAAGGUAUAUGUUUCCCAACCUAAUCACCAUAAAUGGAAAAGCAUUGCUGAAAGUUUUGGAAACUUAAAUUUAUAGUGUUAAAUAAAAUAAUAAUAUAUGAUGUAUAUUUUAUGUGAAAAGAUUUUACACGAAAACAGGUAUGCCGCAUUGUGUUGAGGCUAUUGAUGGCAAGCAUGUCAACAUCUUUUGUCCAAAAAAUAGCGGUUCACUUUUUUAUAAUUAUAAAAAAAAGUUUUAGCAUUGUGCUAAUGGUGGUAUGUGACGCGGAUUAUAAUUUUAUAUUUGUUGAUGUUGGAGCUUUUGGCAGCCAAAGUGAUGGUGGAGUCUUUGCAAGAAGUUCGUUUGAAAAAAUGAUUUUGAGAAAUCAAAUUAAUCUUCCCCCUGAUGAUAAACUACCUGGCACUGAUAAAACGUUUCCGUAUUUCUUUGUGGGAGAAAAUGCUUUCCCUUUGAAGAAAAAUUUAAUGAGGCCAUAUCCAGGACGAAGCUUGCCUGCCGCUAAACAAAAUUUUAACAAAAAGUUACCUGCCGCUCGUGUAUACAUUGAAAACUCUUUUGGCAUUUUAACAAACAGGUGGAGGAUUUUACAUACAAACAUUCAAGUGUCACCCAAAAACGUAGAUAAAAUAGUUUUAGCAACGGUAGUUCUUCAUAAUUACCUAAUGUUAGAUAAAACCUGCGGAUAUUUUGAAGGUAGUUUGGUGGAUCACGAAGAAAAUGGAGUUAUUAUUCGUGGUACAUGGAGGCAGGCAUCAGAAUCCCAGCCUUCUAUCCGAAUUUCCCAUGCCAACCGCUCAUCAGCAAGUGCUUUUGCUGUGAGAGACGAAUCAACAAACCACUUUUUUGAAAUUCAUUCCUAAAAAAUUUCUUCGAAUUCAAUUUCAUUAAUUUUUUAGUAAUCAAAAAUUCAAUUUUAUUUAAUUUAAAAUAAAAAAUCUUAUCUUAAUCAAAACCAAAAUUCAAAUGUAUUUAAUACAAACUAUAUACUAAGGCAACUUCUAAUGUCACUUCAGUCAUAAUUAAAAAAAAAAAAAAACUUAAAAAACAAAAGAAGAAAAAAUUCAGUUCAUGGAAUUAAAACUUAAAAAAAAAAAUCAAGGUAUGUUCUUGGCAAUUUCCUUGUAAACUAAGCUCACGACCUUAGCAGUUAUGAUAUCACCCCAUCGCGUCCUAAUUUAAAUGGUUACCUUUCUGAAAUAACACACACGCGUUUCCUGUUCUUCAUGCACUUGUUUCUUUAUUAUUUUUUUUGUUGUAAUUUUUUGUUGUGUGCUUACUUGUUCGGAAAUAUAAUUCAGCACACUUAUGGUGUUGACCCCAGAAAUUGCAACUUUAGCAUUUUACCUGGCAAGCUAAAAUGUUGAGAAAUAUAAUUUGAUUUAACACGCGUAUGCAAGUAAUCAAUAUUUUUGAAAUACAAUAAUAAACGUGCAAAAGAACAAGAACGCUUAAUAAGCACUUUGAUUUAAUAAGUAAAACCAAAAUUAUGUUUUUCAAUUAGUCUACGAAUAGUACUCAAAUAAAGUGGUAGCAGAAGCUACAAGAAAAGAAAACGAAACGCGUCGCAUAGUGGUGAGUGUGUGAUAGUGUCUAUCUGGCUUUCUUUUUCACUGCAAAUUUCAGAUCAUUAAGCUCGUCUCGAAAGAGAAAACAAACACAUAAAUCAUAAAACAUAUGAUCUUCGCCUUAACAAGGCAAAACUCAAAAAGUCUUUUGUUUUUUUAUCGACUAUUGAAAAUCAAACCAAAAGUCUUAGCCUCAAAUUCUGAUAUUGUGGCCUGUGGUAAAUUCGACCCAAUUAGUUUUUGGGCCAAGCUUUCGAAAAGCAACAAGGUUGAGUUGCGGCCACUUUCACUCCCUGAAGCAAUUUCUCUUAUAGAAUUUGCACACUCCUGCAUAACCUGCUUGAAGACAGUAGUUAUUUCUGCGUCCGCGUGCUUCUUGGUGAACUUCCGCCGAGGUUCGUUUGCUUGGCUGCUGCUUUCGUCAGUUAGCAGAAAAUCGUUGACAGAAGACGACGAGCAAUCAAGAAUGCUUGGCAAAUCACUGUCUAUGUUAUCAAUGUUUCCAAUCGUUCUACUCAAAUAAAAACAUAUUAAAAUUUGGUAGUAACAUAUUAUACUUACGUUCGUGCAUCUUUGUAGCCAUCUAAAAACUCCAGCGGCUCCAUAUAUCUUCACUCAGGCGCAAUUACACAAAUAAAUAAACGUAUUAAUUAUGUAUUUUUAUAGGAGUAACAGAUAUUAGAGGACCAUAACAAAAUUUUAAAGUAAAAAGUAACUUUAUUUACUAAAACACAUAAAAUUCGUACAAGUAUGACCACCUUGUACUGUUUUGUUCGCCGUUCGCCGGCUUAUGAAAUAGAAAUAAAGCUAAUUGAGUUGCGGUGUCCGACGAAAUUUUCGCCGGCGCCGUGACUAUGUGCAUUUCCAUAUGCACAUAUAUUUUUUAUUUUUGACGACGAACAUACGACGCGAAAAAUUCGUCGUGUUCCUAGCAUUAAUAUGAUAAUCAUGAUACCAUUAUUUCCUGGAUAUCAUUAAUCUUGCAGUUCGGUUUAGUAUAGCUCGUUACUAAUAAAUUACAAUUGGUGACGUUAGCGACAAAGUACUUUUAAAUAUUGAAGCUUAGCAAGCAUAGAAAUAAUAAAACAAGGUAAAAAGCAGUAAGUUCGGCCGGGCCGAACUUUGAAUACACUCCACCAUUUGGAACGAAUUUGGAAAUUUUCAAAAAAUAAAGUCCUUAAAAUUAAAAUUUUAAAAAUACCGAAUAUAGCCGUUAUAUUAGUGUCUAUACGUCGUGGACGUACAUAGGCCUUGUUUGUCAUAACCCACUACCAUAUUCAAAUUCGAAACUUGAAAUAAACGGUGAAUAAUGCAGCUAAACUCAUCAAAAUAUCGUAUAUAGGGAGGUACCGUUAUAUCGGAGCUGUGCGAAGACCUGGACCAGCAUAGACAAUAUUCCGUCACAGGCUAUAGCAUUCAUAACGAACGUCAAAUACGACAUCUCAAAAAAUUUCGGUGGGUAUUUUACCUUCCGAAUAUAGGGAGGUACUGAUAUAUGGGGCCUAUACGAAGACCUAGACCCGCAUAGACAAUUUUCUGUCACAGACUGUAGUUUCCAUUACGAACUCUAAAUACGUAAUUUGAAACAAUUCCGGUGAAUAAUGGAGCUAAAAUCAUAAAAAUACCGAAUUUUGGGAGGUACCGUUAUAUGGGGGCUAUACGAAGACGUGGACCUGCACAGACAAUGGCUGCUGCUUUCGUCAGUUAGCAGAAAAUCGUUGACAGAAGACGACGAGCAAUCAAGAAUGCUUGGCAAAUCAUUGUCUAUGUUAUAAAUGUUUCCAAUCGUUCUACUCAAAUAAAAACAUAUUAAAAUUUGGUAGUAACAUAUUAUACUUACGUUCGUGCAUCUUUGUAGCCAUCUAAAAACUCCAGCGGCUCCAUAUAUCUUCACUCAGGCGCAAUUACACAAAUAAAUAAACGUAUUAAUUAUGUAUUUUUAUAGGAGUAACAGAUAUUAGAGGACCAUAACAAAAUUUUAAAGUAAAAAGUAACUUUAUUUACUAAAACACAUAAAAUUCGUACAAGUAUGACCACCUUGUACUGUUUUGUUCGCCGUUCGCCGGCUUAUGAAAUAGAAAUAAAGCUAAUUGAGUUGCGGUGUCCGACGAAAUUUUCGCCGGCGCCGUGACUAUGUGCAUUUCCAUAUGCACAUAUGUUUUUUAUUUUUGACGACGAACAUACGACGCGAAAAAUUCGUCGUGUUCCUAGCAUUAAUAUGAUAAUCAUGAUACCAUUAUUUCCUGGAUAUCAUUAAUCUUGCAGUUCGGUUUAGUAUAGCUCGUUACUAAUAAAUUACAAUUGGUGACGUUAGCGACAAAGUACUUUUAAAUAUUGAAGCUUAGCAAGCAUAGAAAUAAUAAAACAAGUUAAAAAGCAGUAAGUUCGGCCGGGCCGAACUUUGAAUACCCUCCACCAUUUGGAACGAAUUUGGAAAUUUUCAAAAAAUAAAGUCCUUAAAAUUAAAAUUUUAAAAAUACCGAAUAUAGCCGUUAUAUUAGUGUCUAUACGUCGUGGACGUACAUAGGCCUUGUUUGUCAUAACCCACUACCAUAUUCAAAUUCGAAACUUGAAAUAAACGGUGAAUAAUGCAGCUAAACUCAUCAAAAUAUCGUAUAUAGGGAGGUACCGUUAUAUCGGAGCUGUGCGAAGACCUGGACCAGCAUAGACAAUAUUCCGUCACAGGCUAUAGCAUUCAUAACGAACGUCAAAUACGACAUCUCAAAAAAUUUCGGUGGGUAUUUUACCUUCCGAAUAUAGGGAGGUACUGAUAUAUGGGGCCUAUACGAAGACCUAGACCCGCAUAGACAAUUUUCUGUCACAGACUGUAGUUUCCAUUACGAACUCUAAAUACGUAAUUUGAAACAAUUCCGGUGAAUAAUGGAGCUAAAAUCAUAAAAAUACCGAAUUUUGGGAGGUACCGUUAUAUGGGGGCUAUACGAAGACGUGGACCUGCACAGACAAUUUUAUGUCAUGGGCUGUAGUAUCCAUUACGAAUCUCAAAUACCAAAAUUGAAAGAAUUCCGGUGAAUAAUGUCGCUAAAAUCAUCAAAACACCGAAUAUCGGGAGGUACCGUUAUAUGGGGGCUAUACGAAGACUUGGACCUGCACAGACAAUUUUCUGUCUUGGGCUGUAGUAUCCUUUUCGAACUUCAAAUGCCAAAUUUGAAACAAUCCCGGUAAAUAAUGUCGCUGAAAUCAUCAAAAUACCGAAUAUCGGGAGGUACCGUUGUAUGGGGGCUAUUCGAAGACGUGGAUCUGAACAGAUAAUUUUCUGUCAUAAGCUGUAGUAUCCAUUUCGAACUUCAAAUACCAAAUUUGAAAUAUAGGGAAGUAAGGUUAUAUGGGGGCUAUAUGCAAACGUGGACCUACAUGGCCCAUUUACGAACUUAAACUGCCUACUGGAAAAAUAAUCACGUAUGCAAAAUUU